Anas platyrhynchos (mallard) is the source of this 548-nucleotide non-coding RNA. The record is from RefSeq and is a predicted model, not a curated record. NCBI's taxonomy places the organism in Eukaryota, Metazoa, Chordata, Aves, Anseriformes, Anatidae.
CUUCCAGUGGCUUGGAGAUGGCAUCCGGAACAAGCUGUUCCAACAGCUUUCCAGGGACAGAGGACCCCCAAGUCCUUCUCCGCGGGGCUGCUCUGAAGUUCUUCUUCUCCCAGCCUAUAGAGAUACCUAGGAUUGCCCCAGCCCAAGGUCAACGCCUUGCACUUAUGGCAUCCCUUCCCUCUAUUGUAUCGACUGCACCGCUCAGCUUGGUGUCAUCCGCAAACUUGCGCGAUUCCGUCGUCUGUGCCAUUGCUAAGGAUGUUGAAGAGCACCGGUCCCGAGCCCGACCCCUGAGGGACGCCACUUGUGACCGGCCUCCGCCCAGACAUAGAGCCGUUGGCCACAACCCUUUGGCCGCGACCAGCCAACCAAUUCUUUAUCCACCCAACAGUCCAUCCUUCAAAUCCCUACCUCUGCAAUUUAGAGAGAAGAAUGUGGUGAGGGACCAUAUCAAAGGCUUUGCUCGGUCCAGGUAGCAUAUCCUAUCCCAGGACUGGUUUCAGCCGUAAACAACAAACAGUUAUGAAGAGAGAUGUAGCUUUGUAAAU